RNAcentral lists this long non-coding RNA (1849 nucleotides) under Gossypium barbadense (sea-island cotton). RNAcentral describes it as "long non-coding RNA (GBAR_LNC004919)". Lineage: Eukaryota; Viridiplantae; Streptophyta; Magnoliopsida; Malvales; Malvaceae. The record is from RNAcentral.
ACCUGAUCCGUCGGUGCUAGAGUCGGACCUGGACUUCUUGACGAAGUUCCACCAUGCCCUCUUGGAGCUUCAUCUUGAGGAAGGUGCUCUUGUUUGUCCCGAGACUGGCAGGAAGUUUCCGGUUAAUAAGGGAAUCCCCAAUAUGCUUCUGCAUGAAGAUGAGGUUUAAGGGAAUGGUGGUUGAUACGGCUGCGCCACUGGGCCUCACCGGUUUUUAAUUAGGGUUUAUAGUCUUUCAUUUUCUUUUUGUUUGUGUUGUUUUAAUUAUCAUGUCACUGAUUUUAAUUUAUUAAAUAAUGCAUUUUAAUGAAUCAAAGUUGCGAUGCAUUUAUCAGUAUUCAUAGAAAAGCUUGUGAUCGAAAUAAUAAUAAUGCAAUUUUAAUUUAUUAUGAUUAGUGUAAAUCAUUUCAUUUAAAUUAUUAAAUAUAAUUAAAAAUAUUAAUUAUUUUUAUAUUAAAUUGUUAUCGACAGUGAUGAAAUUUACAAUUUUUUUUAGUUAUUUUUAAAUGAAAAUAUAAAAGGGUUAAAGCACAAUUAUGCUAGUGAAUAUUGAAUUGAAUUAUAAUUUAUUAUAAUUGUUAUUAAAUAUAUAUAUAUUGAAAAAGCUUUCAUUAGGCAAGAGAAGUAGUUGAAUGUAAAAUUAGUAUAAUAAGAAAAUUAUUUUAUUUAAAAAAUACAAUGAUAAAUAUGAAUUGAAUUAAGAUAAAAUGGUAAAUUCUAAUUUUAAAAUGGAAAUUUAUAAAUGUUGACGAGAUAAUCUAUCAAUUUUGAAGUGAUAGAUCUUUCAAAUUUAAUAAAAUAGUUUUUAAAUAAAAUAUUUGCAUAGCCCAAAUUAUACCCGGGCUAAAAAGCCCAAUAUUUAAAAAACCAACAGCCCAAAACCCUUUAACACUAGCCCAUAGCAAUUAGAAAAAAAUAAGAGAAGAAGACUAAAAAACCUAGCCACCGUCCCUAUGCUUGACUGUCGGCUAACUACCCUGUCCCAUCGCCCAUACCGCCACUGGCCACCGCCCACUUGCGCCUGCAAAAUUAAAGGCAAAAAUGACAAGCCAAUUAAAAACUACUUUGUAAAUGGCUAUAUAAGCCUUGCAAUGUUAUGUAUUUUUCUCUCUGGACAAAAAAAAAAUAAAAAAGAGAUUCAAAAAAUAAAAAAAAAGAUUCAAGAAAACAGGAGCAAAAAAUAUAGUGAUUCCAAUAAUAUCAAAGCGAGAGAAUUGCAUCGAAUAAAAUCCAAUAUCAGAAAUCGAAAAAUCAAGAAGCAAAUACCUAAAGUGAUUGUGUUUUCUUUUAUUUUAUCAUUUUAUUUUUAUCUAUUGAUUUGCAUGCAUAUUUAUAUUAUAAAUACAUAAAAAAAAUAUAAUACAAAAAAAAGCACAAAAAAAUAAUAAAAAAAUUUACCUUUUUCGAUUUUCCUGCCACCGUGUGCGGUGGCCGGCUGUGACUGGCCGGAGUCCUCGCCGGAGCAUGUACCUGCAGAGAAAAAAAAAGUGAAAGCUGAGUUUUUUUAAAAAAAAAGAUGAGAAAGUGAUUUUUUUUUUAAAAAAAUUUGGCCUUAAAUAGAUCUCCAAAACAACGUCGUUUUGGGCAGGCCUUUUAAGCACCAAAACGACGUCGUUUUGAGCCUUAACCCAUGGCCGACCCGCGACCCGACCUGCUCCAACUUCAGGAUCCGCGUGUUUUCAUUGGAGGGUCUAUUUCCGCAUUUAGCCCCUCCGCUUCUUUUAUAUUAUGCAAUCAAGUUUUUUAGUUUUUUUAAAUUUGGACUCAAAAGUUGUUGUGCUUUAUAAUUCGGUCCCUCUGCUGCUAUGCGUUUUUGGUCGAAUGGAUUUAUUGCAUCACUAGUCCCUGC